Triticum aestivum (bread wheat) is the source of this 135-nucleotide non-coding RNA. The record is from Rfam. NCBI's taxonomy places the organism in Eukaryota, Viridiplantae, Streptophyta, Magnoliopsida, Poales, Poaceae.
AAUAUACUCCCUCUGUCCAGAAAUAAUUUUCAUCUAAAUGAAUAAAAGAGAAUAUAUCUAGACGUAUUUUAGUUCUAGAUACAUCUCUUUUUAUCCAUUUUGAUGACAAGUAUUUCCGGACAGAGGGAGUAAUUA